RNAcentral lists this ribosomal RNA (446 nucleotides) under uncultured bacterium. RNAcentral describes it as "partial 16S ribosomal RNA". It matches the Rfam family "Bacterial small subunit ribosomal RNA", at positions 338 to 795 of the family's 1533-position model. The record is from RNAcentral.
CCUACGGGUGGCAGCAGUCGAGAAUCAUUCACCAUGGGGGAGACCCUGAUGGUGCCACGCCGCGUGGGGGAAUGCAGGUCUUCGGAUUGUAAACCCCUGUCAUGUGGGAACAAAUUAAAAAGAUAGUACCACAAGAGGAGGAGACGGCUAACUCUGUGCCAGCAGCCGCGGUACUACAGAGGUCUCAAGCGUUGUUCGGAAUCACUGGGCGUCAAGCGUGCGUAGGCUGUUUCGUAAGUCCUGUGUGAAAGGGGCGGGCUCAACCCGCGGAGGGCACCUGAUACUGCGAGACUAGAGUAAGGGAGAGGGAGGCGGAAUGCGCGGUGUAGCAGGGAAAUGCGUAGAUAUCGAGAGGAACACUGGUGGCGAAGGCGGGUUCCUGGACAUAAACUGACGCUGAGGCACGAAGGCCAGGGGAGCGAAAGGGAUUAGAUACCCCGGUAGUC